This 433-nucleotide ribosomal RNA is filed under the name uncultured bacterium. RNAcentral's name for it is "partial 16S ribosomal RNA". It matches the Rfam family "Bacterial small subunit ribosomal RNA", at positions 29 to 507 of the family's 1533-position model. The record is from RNAcentral.
AACGAACGCUGGCGGCAUGCCUAACACAUGCGAGUCGAACGAGACCUUCGGGUCUAGUGGCGCACGGGUGCGUAACGCGUGGGAACCUGCCCUUAGGUUCGGAAUAACUCCCCGAAAGGGGUGCUAAUACCGGAUAAUGUCUUCGGACCAAAGAUUUAUCGCCUUUGGAUGGGCCCGCGUUGGAUUAGCUAGUUGGUAGGGUAAAAGCCUACCAAGGCGACGAUCCAUAGCUGGUCUGAGAGGAUGAUCAGCCACACUGGGACUGAGACACGGCCCAGACUCCUACGGGAGGCAGGAGUGGGGAAUAUUGGACAAUGGGCGAAAGCCUGAUCCAGCAAUGCCGCGUGAGUGAUGAAGGCCUUAGGGUUGUAAAGCUCUUUUACCCGGGAUGAUAAUGACAGUACCGGGAGAAUAAGCGCCGGCUAACUCCGUG